This 134-nucleotide ribosomal RNA is filed under the name uncultured bacterium. RNAcentral describes it as "partial 16S ribosomal RNA". It matches the Rfam family "Bacterial small subunit ribosomal RNA", at positions 355 to 480 of the family's 1533-position model. The record is from RNAcentral.
UGGGGAAUAUUGCGCAAUGGGCGAAAGCCUGACGCAGCGACGCCGCGUGAGGGAAGAAGGCCUUCGGGUCGUAAACCUCUGUCAGGAGGGAAGAAACCAUGGGAGUCGAACCAGGCUCUCGUGCUGACGUACCU